RNAcentral lists this ribosomal RNA (763 nucleotides) under uncultured Streptococcus sp. RNAcentral's name for it is "bacterial SSU rRNA". It matches the Rfam family "Bacterial small subunit ribosomal RNA", at positions 28 to 776 of the family's 1533-position model. The record is from RNAcentral. Lineage: Bacteria; Bacillati; Bacillota; Bacilli; Lactobacillales; Streptococcaceae.
GACGAACGCUGGCGGCGUGCCUAAUACAUGCAAGUAGAACGCUGAAGGAGGAGCUUGCUUCUCUGGAUGAGUUGCGAAGGGGUGAGUAACGCGUAGGUAACCUGCCUGGUAGCGGGGGAUAACUAUUGGAAACGAUAGCUAAUACCGCAUAAGAGUAGAUGUUGCAUGACAUUUACUUAAAAGGUGCAAUUGCAUCACUACCAGAUGGACCUGCGUUGUAUUAGCUAGUUGGUGGGGUAACGGCUCACCAAGGCGACGAUACAUAGCCGACCUGAGAGGGUGAUCGGCCACACUGGGACUGAGACACGGCCCAGACUCCUACGGGAGGCAGCAGUAGGGAAUCUUCGGCAAUGGACGGAAGUCUGACCGAGCAACGCCGCGUGAGUGAAGAAGGUUUUCGGAUCGUAAAGCUCUGUUGUAAGAGAAGAACGAGUGUGAGAGUGGAAAGUUCACACUGUGACGGUAUCUUACCAGAAAGGGACGGCUAACUACGUGCCAGCAGCCGCGGUAAUACGUAGGUCCCGAGCGUUGUCCGGAUUUAUUGGGCGUAAAGCGAGCGCAGGCGGUUAGAUAAGUCUGAAGUUAAAGGCUGUGGCUUAACCAUAGUACGCUUUGGAAACUGUUUAACUUGAGUGCAAGAGGGGAGAGUGGAAUUCCAUGUGUAGCGGUGAAAUGCGUAGAUAUAUGGAGGAACGCCGGUGGCGAAAGCGGCUCUCUGGCUUGUAACUGACGCUGAGGCUCGAAAGCGUGGGGAGCAAACAGG